RNAcentral lists this ribosomal RNA (509 nucleotides) under uncultured bacterium. Its description in RNAcentral is "bacterial SSU rRNA". It matches the Rfam family "Bacterial small subunit ribosomal RNA", at positions 19 to 518 of the family's 1533-position model. The record is from RNAcentral.
AUGGCUCAGGAUGAACGCUAGCUACAGGCUAACACAUGCAAGUCGAGGGGCAGCAGAUCGAAAGCUUGCUUUGAUGCUGGCGACCGGCGCACGGGUGAGUAACGCGUAUCCAACCUUCCCUGUAGUAGAGAAUAGCCCGGCGAAAGUCGGAUUAAUGCUCUAUGUUGUAUUUCGAAGACAUCUGAAGAAUACCAAAGGUUUACCGCUAUAGGAUGGGGAUGCGUCUGAUUAGGUUGUUGGCGGGGUAACGGCCCACCAAGCCCACGAUCAGUAGGGGUUCUGAGAGGAAGGUCCCCCACAUUGGAACUGAGACACGGUCCAAACUCCUACGGGAGGCAGCAGUGAGGAAUAUUGGUCAAUGGACGGAAGUCUGAACCAGCCAAGUAAGCGUGCAGGAUGACGGCCCUAUGGGUUGUAAACUGCUUUUAUAUAGGGAUAAAGUCGGGGACGUGUCCCCGUUUGUAGGUACUAUAUGAAUAAGGACCGGCUAAUUCCGUGCCAGCAGCCGC